Molecule: ribosomal RNA, 498 nt
Filed under: uncultured bacterium
Lineage: Bacteria
Description: partial 16S ribosomal RNA
Rfam family: Bacterial small subunit ribosomal RNA
Source: RNAcentral
GGAUGAACGCUGGCGGCGUGCCUAAUACAUGCAAGUCGAGCGAACAGACGAGGAGCUUGCUCCUCUGACGUUAGCGGCGGACGGGUGAGUAACACGUGGAUAACCUACCUAUAAGACUGGGAUAACUUCGGGAAACCGGAGCUAAUACCGGAUAAUAUAUUUAACCGCAUGGUUCAAUAGUGAAAGACGGUUUUGCUGUCACUUAUAGAUGGAUCCGCGCCGCAUUAGCUAGUUGGUAAGGUAACGGCUUACCAAGGCAACGAUGCGUAGCCGACCUGAGAGGGUGAUCGGCCACACUGGAACUGAGACACGGUCCAGACUCCUACGGGAGGCAGCAGUAGGGAAUCUUCCGCAAUGGGCGAAAGCCUGACGGAGCAACGCCGCGUGAGUGAUGAAGGUCUUCGGAUCGUAAAACUCUGUUAUUAGGGAAGAACAAAUGUGUAAGUAACUAUGCACGUCUUGACGGUACCUAAUCAGAAAGCCACGGCUAACUACGUG